UGAAGAAAGCCGAUGGAAUUCAGGGAGCCU
RNAcentral lists this non-coding RNA (30 nucleotides) under Mus musculus (house mouse). Lineage: Eukaryota; Metazoa; Chordata; Mammalia; Rodentia; Muridae. The record is from RNAcentral.